RNAcentral lists this ribosomal RNA (253 nucleotides) under uncultured bacterium. RNAcentral describes it as "partial 16S ribosomal RNA". It matches the Rfam family "Bacterial small subunit ribosomal RNA", at positions 524 to 776 of the family's 1533-position model. The record is from RNAcentral.
UACGUAGGGCGCAAGCGUUAUCCGGAAUUAUUGGGCGUAAAGAGCUCGUAGGCGGUUUGUCGCGUCUGCCGUGAAAGUCCGGGGCUCAACUCCGGAUCUGCGGUGGGUACGGGCAGACUAGAGUGAUGUAGGGGAGACUGGAAUUCCUGGUGUAGCGGUGAAAUGCGCAGAUAUCAGGAGGAACACCGGUGGCGAAGGCGGGUCUCUGGGCCGGUACCGACGCUGAGGAGCGAAAGCGUGGGGAGCGAACAGG